This 253-nucleotide ribosomal RNA is filed under the name uncultured bacterium. Its description in RNAcentral is "partial 16S ribosomal RNA". It matches the Rfam family "Bacterial small subunit ribosomal RNA", at positions 524 to 776 of the family's 1533-position model. The record is from RNAcentral.
UACGAAGGGGGCUAGCGUUGCUCGGAAUUACUGGGCGUAAAGGGCUCGUAGGCGGCCAACUAAGUCAGACGUGAAAUCCCUCAGCUUAACUGGGGAACUGCGUUUGAUACGGAUGGGCUAGAGUUCGGGAGAGGAGAGUGGAAUUCCCAGUGUAGAGGUGAAAUUCGUAGAUAUUGGGAAGAACACCGGUGGCGAAGGCGGCUCUCUGGACCGAUACUGACGCUGAGGCGCGAAAGCGUGGGGAGCAAACAGG